RNAcentral lists this unclassified non-coding RNA (261 nucleotides) under uncultured fungus. RNAcentral describes it as "partial contains 5.8S ribosomal RNA, internal transcribed spacer 2, and large subunit ribosomal RNA". Lineage: Eukaryota; Fungi. The record is from RNAcentral.
AACGCACCUUGCGCCCCUUGGAAUUCCAAUGGGCAUGCCUGUUUGAGUAUCAUGAAAUAUUAUCUCUCUAUUUAUUGAGAGGACUUGGAUGUUUUAUUGCUGUAAACCAAGCUCAUCCUAAAUGAAUUAGCUUUGAAUUAUUCUCUGAAGUUGAGCAUAAUAAUAUGUAUUUUGCUUCUUCUGGUCUACAAAGUCGAAGCUUCUUAAACAUUUGAAAUGAUAUUUGAUCUCAAAUCAGGUAGGACUACCUGCUGAACUUAA